UGGAGGCAGCAGUGGGGAAUAUUGGGCAAUGGGCGCAAGCCUGACCCAGCCACGCCGCGUGAGUGAUGAAGGCCUUCGGGUCGUAAAGCUCUGUGGGGAGGGACGAAACGGCACGACCUAACACGUCGGGUCCUGACGGUACCUCCUUAGCAAGCACCGGCUAACUCCGUGCCAGCAGCCGCGGUAAUACGGAGGGUGCAAACGUUGCUCGGAAUCAUUGGGCGUAAAGCGCACGUAGGCGGUCCGGCCAGUCGGGUGUGAAAGCCCUCGGCUUAACCGAGGAAGAGCAUUCGAAACUACCGGGCUUGAGUACUGGAGAGGGUCGCGGAAUUCCCGGUGUAGAGGUGAAAUUCGUAGAUAUCGGGAGGAACACCAGUGGCGAAGGCGGCGACCUGGACAGAUACUGACGCUGAGGUGCGAAAGCGUGGGGAGCAAACAGGAUUAGAUACCCCGGUAGC
Molecule: ribosomal RNA, 458 nt
Filed under: uncultured bacterium
Lineage: Bacteria
Description: bacterial SSU rRNA
Rfam family: Bacterial small subunit ribosomal RNA
Source: RNAcentral